RNAcentral lists this ribosomal RNA (529 nucleotides) under uncultured Aquaspirillum sp. RNAcentral's name for it is "bacterial SSU rRNA". It matches the Rfam family "Bacterial small subunit ribosomal RNA", at positions 839 to 1368 of the family's 1533-position model. Lineage: Bacteria; Pseudomonadati; Pseudomonadota; Betaproteobacteria; Neisseriales; Aquaspirillaceae. The record is from RNAcentral.
CUCAGUAACGAAGCUAACGCGUGAAGUUGACCGCCUGGGGAGUACGGCCGCAAGGUUAAAACUCAAAGGAAUUGACGGGGACCCGCACAAGCGGUGGAUGAUGUGGUUUAAUUCGAUGCAACGCGAAAAACCUUACCCACCUUUGACAUGUACGGAAGAUCGCAGAGACGCGAUUGUGCUCGAAAGAGAGCCGUAACACAGGUGCUGCAUGGCUGUCGUCAGCUCGUGUCGUGAGAUGUUGGGUUAAGUCCCGCAACGAGCGCAACCCUUGCCAUUAGUUGCUACAUUCAGUUGAGCACUCUAAUGGGACUGCCGGUGACAAACCGGAGGAAGGUGGGGAUGACGUCAAGUCCUCAUGGCCCUUAUAGGUGGGGCUACACACGUCAUACAAUGGCUGGUACAAAGGGUUGCCAACCCGCGAGGGGGAGCUAAUCCCAUAAAGCCAGUCGUAGUCCGGAUCGCAGUCUGCAACUCGACUGCGUGAAGUCGGAAUCGCUAGUAAUCGUGGAUCAGAAUGUCACGGUGAAUA